RNAcentral lists this transfer RNA (56 nucleotides) under Bos taurus (domestic cattle). It matches the Rfam family "tRNA", at positions 8 to 63 of the family's 71-position model. From Rfam's summary of the family: Transfer RNA (tRNA) molecules are approximately 80 nucleotides in length. Their secondary structure includes four short double-helical elements and three loops (D, anti-codon, and T loops). The record is from Rfam by way of RNAcentral. RNAcentral also lists the same sequence under 1 other name. Lineage: Eukaryota; Metazoa; Chordata; Mammalia; Artiodactyla; Bovidae.
UGGCUCAGCUGGUAGAGAAUCCGCCUGCAAUGCGGGAGACCGGGGUUCAAUCCCUG